This 1032-nucleotide long non-coding RNA is filed under the name Cricetulus griseus (Chinese hamster). Its description in RNAcentral is "lncRNA (ENSCGRG00015031561.1)". Lineage: Eukaryota; Metazoa; Chordata; Mammalia; Rodentia; Cricetidae. The record is from RNAcentral.
GCCUCAGUAAUCCCAAACGAGAUGAUUACCUGUGUCCUACCACAGUGUAAAAACAAUUUUAUGCUGGGAAGACUCAAAUGGACUCUUCGCUAUGACAGGAUCGCUUCCGAAGACAAACCAUCCGUUCCACAUUUUGAAGGAGAAACAGUAUUUAUAAAAGCAAUCUACUUACACUUUUUUUUGUUUUUGUUUUUUGUUUUUUGUUUUUUUUUCUCGAGACAGGGUUCCUCUGUGUGUUGUUCUGGCUGUCCUGGAACUCACUCUGGAAUUCGGGGAAUGCCCGCACACCCCAUGUACACGUCUACAUUUGCCUUUCCCCACCAACAAUCAGUGCCUCAACACAAUCCUGUCUUGGAACUUUACUUUUUCUAAGAACACAACUCUUACAAAACCAGACCCCCCUUUUAUGCUUCACUUAGUGAAGUCUCUUUUGUUGUUGUUUUUGAUUUCCAGACAGGGCAGAAUUCUCUGUGUAGCUCUUGCUUUCCCGGAACUCGCUCUGUAGACCAGGCUGGCCACGAACUGACAGAGAUCCACCUUCUUCUGCUUCCUGAGUGCUGGGAUUUGAAGGCGUGCGCCACCACCGCCAGGCUCACUUGGUUCUAAGUCUUACGAAAGUUGCCCAGACCCGGUCGGUAGCUGGCACAAUCAUAACACUUCUAUAACUUACUUUACCAUACCCUUAGGAUUGUCUUCGGUGGAGUGUUAACUCUGGGAAUGCAGAGACUUGCUUUUCCUAACUCCCUGUUACAUCCUUUUUACACAGUUCGUUUCCAAUACACGUUGUUUACAGAAUAACCAAAACGGCUUUUUUUUUUUUUUUUUUUUUUUUUUUUUUUUUUUUUUUUUUUUAAGAGUUGCGGUCCAAAGCUCAAUGCGCAGUCUAGAUCAGUGCUGUCAACCUUUGGGUCUCGAUCCCGCCCGGCGCGGGUCGGGUGGGUGUCAAAGGACCGUUUCGUACGGGUCGCCUAAAACCAUCGGGAAACAUAGCGAUGUUACGAUUCAGAAGGGUGCCAAAAUCAGUUAUGAAGU